RNAcentral lists this transfer RNA (67 nucleotides) under Janthinobacterium lividum. Its description in RNAcentral is "tRNA-Val". The record is from RNAcentral. Lineage: Bacteria; Pseudomonadati; Pseudomonadota; Betaproteobacteria; Burkholderiales; Oxalobacteraceae.
GGCGACGAAUCGGCGCACUGCAUUCACACUGCAGGGGUCGCAAGUUCGAAACUUGCACUUCCCACCA